GCAGGUGACUGUGCUCAGUGGUAAGAGGAGUCGUCUUGCAAUCAGAAGGUUGUGGGUUCGAUUCCAGCUUCCUCCUGCC
Molecule: non-coding RNA, 79 nt
Organism: Crenichthys baileyi (White River springfish)
Lineage: Eukaryota; Metazoa; Chordata; Actinopteri; Cyprinodontiformes; Goodeidae
Source: the annotation of a GenBank genome assembly